AAGCCGUGGUAUGGGCAUGCUGCGAUGUAUUCCUGAAAUCUCUCCCAUGCUUCCGGGAAGGUUUCAUCCGGGAGUUGCUGAAAUCCGGAGAUCUUGCUCCGGAGAAC
Molecule: small nucleolar RNA, 107 nt
Organism: Panicum virgatum (switchgrass)
Lineage: Eukaryota; Viridiplantae; Streptophyta; Magnoliopsida; Poales; Poaceae
Source: RefSeq, a predicted model, not a curated record